This 253-nucleotide ribosomal RNA is filed under the name uncultured bacterium. RNAcentral describes it as "partial 16S ribosomal RNA". It matches the Rfam family "Bacterial small subunit ribosomal RNA", at positions 524 to 776 of the family's 1533-position model. The record is from RNAcentral.
UACGUAGGGUGCGAGCGUUGUCCGGAAUUGUUGGGCGUAAAGAGCUCGUAGGCGGUCUGUCGCGUCUGCUGUGAAAACCCGAGGCUCAACCUCGGGCCUGCAGUGGGUACGGGCAGACUAGAGUGCGGUAGGGGAGAAUGGAAUUCCUGGUGUAGCGGUGGAAUGCGCAGAUAUCAGGAGGAACACCGAUGGCGAAGGCAGUUCUCUGGGCCGUAACUGACGCUGAGGAGCGAAAGCGUGGGGAGCGAACAGG